Molecule: ribosomal RNA, 116 nt
Filed under: Carlito syrichta (Philippine tarsier)
Lineage: Eukaryota; Metazoa; Chordata; Mammalia; Primates; Tarsiidae
Source: RNAcentral
GUCUAUGGUCAUACCCCCGAAUGAGCCCGAUCUAGUCGGAUUUCAGAAGCUGAGCGGGGCCGGAUCUGACUAGUACUUGGAUGGGAGAAAUGUGAGAGGUCUCCAGAACAUAAAAC